RNAcentral lists this transfer RNA (71 nucleotides) under Stolephorus commersonnii (Commerson's anchovy). RNAcentral's name for it is "tRNA-Ser". It matches the Rfam family "tRNA". From Rfam's summary of the family: Transfer RNA (tRNA) molecules are approximately 80 nucleotides in length. Their secondary structure includes four short double-helical elements and three loops (D, anti-codon, and T loops). Lineage: Eukaryota; Metazoa; Chordata; Actinopteri; Clupeiformes; Engraulidae. The record is from RNAcentral.
AAGAAAGUGUCAGAGUGGUAAUGUAGAUGGCUUGAAACCAUCUCACGGGGGUUCGAUUCCCUCCUUUCUCG